GGGAGUGUACAGCUCAUGGUAGAGCACAUGCUUAGCAUGCACGAGGUCCUUGGUUCAACCCCCAGCACCGCCA
Molecule: transfer RNA, 73 nt
Filed under: Camelus ferus (Wild Bactrian camel)
Lineage: Eukaryota; Metazoa; Chordata; Mammalia; Artiodactyla; Camelidae
Rfam family: tRNA
About the family: Transfer RNA (tRNA) molecules are approximately 80 nucleotides in length. Their secondary structure includes four short double-helical elements and three loops (D, anti-codon, and T loops).
Source: Rfam by way of RNAcentral